Molecule: non-coding RNA, 860 nt
Organism: Xyrichtys novacula (pearly razorfish)
Lineage: Eukaryota; Metazoa; Chordata; Actinopteri; Labriformes; Labridae
Source: the annotation of a GenBank genome assembly
AGAGAGAGGGGGGGAGAGAGAGAGAGAGAGAGAGAGAGGGGAAGAGGGAGAGGGGGGUUUAAGGGAGAGGUGGAGAUGGUGGAAAAUAAAGAUUGGUGAGGGGGAUUUGGUGGCGGAUGAAACAUCCCAUAGCUCCCCAGCUCUCACCAUCCAUGUGAGGAGAGUGAGCAAGGGACAUAGUCACCCGACCCGACUAGGUCUAGGCUCUGCUCUCCUCACGGUCCUCACAAGAUACAAAGAGAUAUGUAAACGUGGAAGUGAGAGUUCUCUAGGCAGAGUUUUGGGUUUGGUUUGAGCUGAGUUGGUCAGUUGAUUAUUGAUUACUAUUUUAAGUUCUAAAAGUGGAUAGAGUCAAAAAGUCACAGAGGAUUGUGGUGGGAGCAGGUGGUCCAUCUGGCACCAUUCUGCUCAUGCAGGGAUUCGAGUGAUAGAAAGAGAAUAGAUCUUGCCAACGUGACUCGCCAUUGAGACUCUCCUCACCUGCUGGUUUUCAUCCUCUGAUAGGAGAGAGAGGUACAGAUCAGGAGAGAGGGAGAAAAGGAGGGAGGCAGGGUGGGGUCAGGAGUUAAUUUGUCUUGAAAAGUAUUUAUCUUUUCGUCAUUGCUGUUAGGGUUUAGAUGUUUUUUGUUUAGUUUUCUGAGGAAUGUAGUGUUAGUAUAGGUUCCAAGGUGGAGGAUUCUUUGGAAUUCACUCUCACCCUUGAAACUGGAAGAUCUUAGAUUCUAUAAAGGGGGGGGGGGGGGGGGGUGAGAGGUUGUGUGCACAGAAGGAGCAUGGGCUCAGAUUCUCUGAAUGAUAUUGUGACAAGUCUGUCCGAAGGUAAGUGGCUGGUUAGGUGUGGGAAAGAGAUAGAGUGAUAG